CCUACGGGAGGCAGCAGUCGAGAAUCAUUCACAAUGGGGGAAACCCUGAUGGUGCGACGCCGCGUGGGGGAAUGAAGGUCUUCGGAUUGUAAACCCCUGUCAUGUGGGAGCAAAUUAAAAAGAUAGUACCACAAGAGGAAGAGACGGCUAACUCUGUGCCAGCAGCCGCGGUAAUACAGAGGUCUCAAGCGUUGUUCGGAAUCACUGGGCGUAAAGCGUGCGUAGGCUGUUUCGUAAGUCGUGUGUGAAAGGCGCGGGCUCAACCCGCGGACGGCACAUGAUACUGCGAGACUAGAGUAGUGGAGGGGGAACCGGAAUGCUCGGUGUAGCAGUGAAAUGCGUAGAUAUCGAGAGGAACACUCGUGGCGAAGGCGGGUUCCUGGACAUUAACUGACGCUGAGGCACGAAGGCCAGGGGAGCGAAAGGGAUUAGAUACCCGAGUAGUC
RNAcentral lists this ribosomal RNA (446 nucleotides) under uncultured bacterium. Its description in RNAcentral is "partial 16S ribosomal RNA". It matches the Rfam family "Bacterial small subunit ribosomal RNA", at positions 338 to 795 of the family's 1533-position model. The record is from RNAcentral.